Molecule: long non-coding RNA, 410 nt
Organism: Carassius carassius (crucian carp)
Lineage: Eukaryota; Metazoa; Chordata; Actinopteri; Cypriniformes; Cyprinidae
Exons: 2
Source: RefSeq, a predicted model, not a curated record
GGGGUGUGUCAUGGCAAAAUUUAAAUCAACUCUCAUCAGCAUAAGAGACAGACUCAGUCUCAGGUAUAAUUAAAAAGAAAGCUUUUAUUCUUUGCAAAGAAGGUCAGACAGUCAUACAGCAACACUGAGUUCCUGCAGAGUGAAACCGACCCAGGAAGAGGGCAGUCCUCCACCUUAUAUCCCUUUGCUCUUCCAAGGUUACACAGUCUGAACAGCUGUAACUUUCCAUGGAUAACAUAAAACACACUCUCUAUGGGCUGUUUCUCACACAUUUAGGACUUAGGUGACCCCCUCAGGUCAUUCUCAGACAUCUGUUUUCCCCCCAGGUGUCGUCCCUCUGAACCCACACAGCAAUUCUAAGAAAACACAGGCAUAUAUAGGCAUACAGAAGCAGUGUUAAAUGAAUUUUU